ACGAGAAUCGAUUCCGUUAGUAGUGGCGAGCGAACGCGGAACAGCCCAAACCGUCGGGAUUUAUCCUGGCGGGGUUAUAGGGCCACGAUGUGAGAUUAUGCGAGUUAGACAAACACUCUGGAAAGUGUGACCAUAGCGGGUGACAGUCCCGUAGUUUAAAACUCAAAUGACUCUAGUGGUACCCUGAGUAGCACCGUACACGUGAAAUCCGGUGUGAAUUCGUGCCGACCACGGCAUAAGGCUAAAUACUCGAUGAAGACCGACAGUGAACUAGUACCGCGAGGGAAAGGUGAAAAGCACCCCUGUUAGGGGAGUGAAAUAGUAACUGAAAUCAAUUGCUAACAAGUCAGUGGGAGCUCCCUUGUGGAGUGACCGCCUGCCUUUUGUAUAAUGAGUCUGCGAGUUAUUGCCCGUAGCAAGCUUAAGCCGGUUCCCGGCGAAAGCGCAGCGAAAGCAAGUCCAAAUAGGGCGCUUAGUUGCUGGCAAUAGACCCGAAGCGGAGGUGAUCUAACCAUGACCAGGAUG
Molecule: ribosomal RNA, 525 nt
Filed under: uncultured bacterium
Lineage: Bacteria
Description: bacterial LSU rRNA
Rfam family: Bacterial large subunit ribosomal RNA
Source: RNAcentral